AGAGUUUGAUCAUGGCUCAGAGCGAACGCUGGCGGCGUACCUAACACAUGCAAGUCGAACGGAGAUCAUGGGGUUAGCAAUAACUCUAUGGUUCUAGUGGCGCACGGGUGAGUAACACGUGGGUAACCUGCCCUUGAGACUGGGAUACCCCCUCGAAAGGGGGCUAAUACCGGAUACGUUCCUCGGAUCGAAAGUUCUGGGGAGGAAAGGUGGCGAAAGCUGCCGCUCUUGGAGGGGCUCGCGGCCUAUCAGCUAGUUGGCGGGGUAACGGCCCACCAAGGCUAUGACGGGUAGCUGGUCUGAGAGGACGACCAGCCACACGGGGACUGAGACACGGCCCCGACUCCUACGGGAGGCAGCAGUGGGGAAUUUUCCGCAAUGGGCGAAAGCCUGACGGAGUGACGCCGCGUGUGGGACGAAGGCCUUCGGGUCGUAAACCACUGUCAGUGGGAAAGAUGGGUGUCGGCGCGAUAACCGCCGGCAUUUGACGGUACCUGCAGAGGAAGCCCCGGCUAACUCUGUGCCAGCAGCCGCGGUAAGACAGAGGGGGCAAGCGUUGCUCGGAAUUACUGGGCGUAAAGGGCGCGUAGGCGGGAUGGCAAGUCGGUCGUGAAAUCCCUCGGCUCAACUGAGGAUCGUCGAUCGAUACUGCCGUUCUUGAGGAUUGCAGAGGAGACUGGAAUUCCCGGUGUAGCGGUGAAAUGUGUAGAGAUCGGGAGGAACACCGGUGGCGAAGGCGGGUCUCUGGGCAAUUCCUGACGCUGAGGCGCGAAAGCGUGGGGAGCAAACGGGAUUAGAUACCCCGGUAGUCCACGCUGUAAACGAUGACGACUAGGUGUGGGGGGGUUCAGUCCCUUCCGUGCCGCAGCUAACGCAUUAAGUCGUCCGCCU
This 891-nucleotide ribosomal RNA is filed under the name uncultured bacterium. Its description in RNAcentral is "bacterial SSU rRNA". It matches the Rfam family "Bacterial small subunit ribosomal RNA", at positions 9 to 873 of the family's 1533-position model. The record is from RNAcentral.